CAAUAGCGUAUAUUAAAGUUGUUGCAGUUAGAACGCUCGUAGUCGGAUUUCGGGGCGGGCCGACCGGUCUGCCGAUGGGUAUGCACUGGUCGGCGCGUCCUUCCUUCCGGAGACCGUCCCUACUCUUAACUGAGCGGGGGCGGGAGACGGGACUUUUACUUUGAAAAAAUCAGAGUGUUUCAAGCAGGCAGCUCGCUCUUGCAUGGAUUAGCAUGGGAUAAUGAAAUAGGACUUUGGUGCUAUUUUGUUGGUUUCGAACACCGAAGUAAUGAUGAGAAGGGACAGUCAGGGGCACUCGUAUUCCGCCGAGAGAGGUGAAAUUCUCAGACCGGCGGAAGACGAACCACUGCGAAAGCAUUUGCCAGGGAUGUUUUCACUGA
Molecule: ribosomal RNA, 380 nt
Filed under: uncultured eukaryote
Lineage: Eukaryota
Description: partial 18S ribosomal RNA
Rfam family: Eukaryotic small subunit ribosomal RNA
Source: RNAcentral